UCUUCUGUCUUCCGCGCGCCCGCCUCCGCCUCCGCCUAGCUGAGUCAGCCAGUGCGGUGGCGCCAGGCACACGCGGUAGAACAGCCGUAGGGUUGCUAAGCUGCACCUCCGCGUCAGUUCUCAAGGCGAGCGCCGCCUUUAGCCCAAGUUCUCAAAGCUCUCGGGGCUACGUAGUCUACCCUCCCCGGUGACCCGGCGAGAUCCCUAGCCGCUCCUCCGGCCGCUCUGCUCUCCGCAUCCCUCGCGGGAAUGACCCCCUUUACCCGGGACUCCCAGAGCGCACUGUAUGAUGCCGGAAGGUCCUUCUGAAUCCCUUCCCUGUUCCUUAGCUUGCACUAGUCAGGGGUUCCGUGCUGGGGGGCAGAAGAAAUGCUCGCUACCCUCUGAAACCGUUCAUCAGGAAGGCCUUGAUUUGUGAUGUGCUAGGAGAGCACAGGAUCUGCAAAUAGAAGGCACCUGUCUCCCUUCUGCAGGCCGAGGAGAGGCCGCCAUGGACUGUGUGCUUCUUCGUGGCUUGUCUACUCUUCUUUCACAGACCCUACAGCCUGGGGCCUGGGCUCCUCUGACCAUC
This 571-nucleotide small RNA is filed under the name Pongo abelii (Sumatran orangutan). RNAcentral's name for it is "processed transcript". Lineage: Eukaryota; Metazoa; Chordata; Mammalia; Primates; Hominidae. The record is from RNAcentral.